RNAcentral lists this long non-coding RNA (6658 nucleotides) under Malus domestica (apple). RNAcentral's name for it is "long non-coding RNA (MDOM_LNC009927)". The record is from RNAcentral. Lineage: Eukaryota; Viridiplantae; Streptophyta; Magnoliopsida; Rosales; Rosaceae.
AGGAUCGAUGAAAUUAUGCUACGAAGUUGUAUUUUAGAGAUGAAUUAUGUUUUGUGCGUACCUAGUGAACACUAUGCCACCUGGGGCGAGGAUCUGGUGUUGGCAUUGAGGCCGGGAGAAAUAAUCCCUAGCGAAAGGCUGAGGGACACGGAGACAGGCAUUGGGCCGGGAGGGAGAUAUCUCUGGCUACGGGCACAGAGACUGAGGUGCAGGCAUUGGGCCGGGAGUAUUGUUAUUCAGUGCACUCACUAGCAGCACAACUUGUGUUAUGCUUCCUGACAUGAUUGCUGAGAUAAUUUCUGAUAUGAUUUUCUGAGAUUGAUUUGCAGAUGGAUAUAUGAAUUGUUUUAUGGCAUGCUAAAGUUUUCUUGAAAAGCUUAUCACUUAUUAUUCUAGUAGUUUUCAUUAUUAAACUGUGGGGGUUAGUAUGUUCGUAACUGUUUUCGUACUAUGUAUGUAUAUAAACUUGGUCCACUCACCCUUGUUUUGCGCCCCCCAUUCAGGACUUAGGAUGAAGGCACAUAACCCCGGCAUCAAGGUACUUCCGCAGCGGCAUCUUCGAGUCCUCUCGGGGUAGGACCCACUCAUUUGUUCAUUCAAUCUUAUCUUAGUUCUUGUUAGUGACUAGGUUUAGUUAUAUGCUCUGAACACGUUCCUAAAUUGUUAAUUCAUUGUUUUUAAAUUCAUAACCUGUAUUUAUUUCUUAUUCUUAGCUUUUGUAUCAAUUAAUGGCUUUCGUCACCCCCGGGUGUCGGCCAGCACGUGUCGGUCCUAGUAUUCGGGGAAUAUCAGGGUCGGGGCGUGUCAGAUUGGUAUCAGAGCGUGGUUUUGUUCAGAGCAUACUUAGGAUUAUCCUUAACUCUCGUAGUGUGUCUGUCAUGACAUUAUUUGGAUGUCACGACUUCUGGAUUUGCUGUCUUUCGGCCCAGUUGUGCAAAUCUUUCUCUGUUUGAAUUGUCACCUUCUGGUUGAAAUACAAGAAUUUUUGUCGGGAUUGUGCCUCAUCGGUGACGUUUUUGUUUUGUUAGACGACUUUUAACAUCGUAUCGAUACUCAGCGACGUGUUUUAGAAAUCUCGAUUUGAGGAAUUCUGGUUAAGACUAGCCAUAGAUCUGAAAUGGCGAUGCCGCUCUGCAACAUGCAUUCCUUAGGAAUCGCGGGCAGAGUCGGCUCUACAUCAAAAAUUUUGGAUUAGUGGUACGAGUUGGUUAAGACGAAAUGGAAAUCGAAAUCGAUGAUGUCACUCUGUGAUAUGCGUUACCUAGGAAUGGCGGGCAAGGUCACAUCUAUGUGGAAACUACUUAAAAUAUUCGAAAUGCACGUUGGAGAAAACAAGUAAACGUUGGUUGUGACGAAUCUGGAAAGUGUCAGUUGGAAUUUGAAUCAACGUUUUUGGACUCAUUCCUAUUGAGGGAAUUCGUGUAGCUCUUCAGAAUGGUACUCGGCGAUUGUUCUAUCGUUAACCCUUUUGCCCUUUUGCUUACUCCAACGACGAAGUUAAGCUCCUAAUUUUUUUUACUGUUAGCUUCACAUCAAAUUCUCUGAGUGUUGACUUCGUUUGUAUUAAUUGCUUUUCUCGGGAAACUCCUUGGUAGCAAACGCUAUUCUCAUCAAUUUCCAAAAUGAGUUGCAAUUCUUGUUGUUGUUGUAGUUGCACUUGGAUAAUGAAGAUUCAGUCUUGUUUGGAUAAACAAAUUCCUUGAAUUUCACCAAGUCUGGUACUCGGCGAUAAAACCCUAGUUCCUCGUCCGCGUACUUUUCGGUGAAGGUGAACUUAGUCUCUUGCUUGCAACCUAGCUGUUCAGCCUUGUAAUUUUCAGUGUGAUGGUUGAGACUUCACCAUAUUCAUCGUUGUACGAAGAUCGAGCUUUACUCUGAACUUCUCUGGACGUAUUGAGCUUUGGUUUACUCAAGAGCAUCACUUUAAGGUAGCCAAUCGUGUCACUGCAAGCAUAUGCAGGUUUCUCUGUAUCUUUCUUCUUCGCCAUUUUGUUGAUUCAAAGGUUCUAUGUUUAAUUUCUAAAUUUGAAAUGGCUCUCACAAAGUAUUAUGAAUUUCGAAAUAUUUUUGGCCUCGUCCAAUCUUAUUAUCAGUUCUUAACUAUUCUUGAGCUUAGACCUAAUUCCUUUUUGGCUAAGAAACCAGUUGACCAUACUGUGAUGAUUUGCAAAAUAAUCAUAAACAGUGACUUUUAGUUUUGUAUCUUCAUUUUCCUUCUGCUCUCGAGUUGAUUGUGCAGGCUCAAUUCCUUAUUUGUUCUCCAAGUAGAUGUGGCAGCUUCUUUGGAAGUACAUCAGCAGUGGAAGAUGAGUACUCGAGAGCAAUUUCUCCAUGUCCUGCAGGUUAGAACAAAGACAAGGAAAAGGACAUGGAGAAUGCAUGAUAUGAGAUACUCUUGCUCUCUACCUUCAUGAUAUGAAAUACUUUUGCUCUUGAAGAUUUGUUUGCAGAGGUAUCCCAGGGGAUGAGGAACACUGAGUGACUCGAGAGGGUUCGAUGGGAAUUCAUUCUCAGAGAUGACGGAAUGUUAUGUAUGUCUGCCUUGCCAUGGAGGGUGAAGGUCGACAUUUAUAGGAAAUAAUGACCGGUACUGUUCUUUCAUUCCUGUCGGCAACCGUUGGAUGAUUGUACAGUAAACUUCACGUGUUUUCUACUUCAACAGAAAUUGUCGACAGAUUGCCCGUGAUUUCCUCAAAGCUGACGAGGCUGAGAGAGACAGAUGGUUGGAAUCGGCGCUUCGAUAUCUGGAAUCGGUGGUUUGUGAGCAAGCCCAACUUUUGAGAAAAGCUGGCGCCUCUUCGAUCUCUGAAAAAGAAGAUUGGCCGUGGUUUCUAAGCAAACCCAGCUUUUGAGAAAGUUAGCGCUUCUUUGAUUUUUUGAGUUGGCCUCUUCGAUUUCUGAGCUCGCCUCUUCGAUCUCUGAAAUCCCAUCGCGUGUUUUUUUUUAUAGAGGUACGCAGGACGUUCAAAGUACACUUGAAUUUCUGCCUGUAAAAAAAAAAAAACUCCCUUCUUGCACUUCUACGAUCUUGACUUGUCCGACCUCUUCUUUCUUUAACACCUCUGAAAAUGUCUGGCCCUUCCGACCGUCGAUUUGACUUGAACCUUGGUGAAGAGGCAGCUCCGCCUUCUCCAGACAACAUAUGGCGCCCAUCCUUCAUAUCCCCUACUGGUCCUCUUACCGUUGGGGAUUCGGUGAUGAAGAAUGAUAUGACAGCUGCGGUGGUGGCCAGGAACCUUGUCACUCCCAAAGAUAACAGACUACUUGCCAGACGGUCUGAUGAGUUGGCUGUUAAGGAGUCUCUGGCUCUUAGUGUGCAGUGUGCGGGUUCAGUGUCCAACAUGGCCCAACGCCUAUUUGCUCGAACCCGUCAAGUUGAAUCGUUGGCGGCAGAAGUGAUUAGUCUCAAACAGGAGAUUAGAGGGCUCAAGCAUGAGAAUAAACAGCUGCACAAGCUCGCACACAACUAUGCCACAAACAUGAAAAGGAAAAUUGACCAGAUGCAGGAAUCUGAUGGUCAGAUCUUACUUGAUCAUCAGAGGUUCGUGGGUUUGUUCCAACAGCAUUUGCCUUCGUCUUUUGGGGCUGUACCGCAUACUGAAGCUCCAAAUGAUCAACCUCCGCUGCCUCCUCCUUCUGGGGCUCCGCCGACUGCUGAGGCUCCGCCAAAUACUGAGACUUUUCCUAAGCAGCCUUUGUGAAGGCUCCCUAUUGUAAUUUUCUGCUUAAAUGUUCCUUUUCUACAAAAAUCAAUGAAAAUGUAUCUUGGUUACCAAAAAUCCAUACCAAAAGAAAUCAAACAAGUAACAACUAAAAAUGACAAACAAGGUAUAGUUUUCAAAUGGGUUCGUUGUUGGCAAAACACUGGAAUAGUUAGUCACAUUUGGAAGAACUGAAGUGAAUUUGAUGCUUGGUGCUGGAUAGAGUGUUACGACUACAAUUUCUGUUUUGUUCGGUAUGGUGUUUGGCACUUUUUACGACAUGGUAUGAGAGUUUUUCACAGGCAACAUUGGCUGACAAAGGAAUAUUGUGAACUGAUAUUCGGGAGGAUCGAAUUUAUGACGUGUGAAAUUAUUCAUCCUUAGGAAAUUACUACUUGCUUAUCGAGACAACAAAUGUGAGGUCGAUAUUACGGGCUGCAGACUGUGAUAUCGAUAGCUUAUUUGUUGGGUUCAUUAAGCAAGUGGGCAAGAAGACCCGUCUACGAUAGUUGUUGCGGAUUUGUUAGUCUUGGGGCUCGACCCAAAGACACAUCUAUUCUCGGAGUACGUGACAUUUCGAAUUCUUGGGCAAGACCCACUUUCAUUUCCGAUUUUGGAUUUUCAGUAUAAAUAUUUUAACUUCCGUUAUUAGUUAUUUAUUUUCGAAGUUACAAAUGUUUUGGGGAAAGUAUUUCUGUUUUCAGUUUUAAGUUCAACACGAGUUUUUGAUCUACAUGUUAGUACUUGUCCAUUUUGACGUUAUCGUAUUUUGAGUACUUGCUUUUAACCUUAAGCUAUUCUUUGUCUUCAACUUUAUAUCUUUAUAAAGUAUGUUUCUACUUGUACACUGAUGGAGAAAGAAAGUAUGGGCAUGGAGGCACGAAAGAUGGAAUCAUUGUAACCCGAUCGCGACGGGAUGACAUUUUCCCUUUUGUGCAACCGCUCUGACUUGAUUUCUUCGUUACGUACAUAUUUAUAUAUUUUUCUUCUUCCUAUUUUCGAGUAUUUCAGUUUAGUAAGUGAUUUUAAAUUUCGAGGACGAAAUUUUCUUUAAGGGGGUAGAUUGUUAAACCCCACCCCCAUUUUUCAUCUUAUUUCUAUUUUUCCCCUAGAACAUAUUUGUUAUCUAUCAAUUUAGUCCCUUAUUCUCUUUUAAUCCUAACCUUUGAUCUAGAAAUGUUGUCUCUCUUAGACUGCCAUGUGGCAGCUCUCAGAUCUCUCCCUUCUUCCCUCUCUUCCCGAAACACAUCUCAGAACCUCUCUCUUUUUCUGUUUCUUCUCUCUCUAACUCUAAAAAACUCUCACACUCUCUAAGCUCCGAGAGAUUCUCUCUAACUUUCACCUCACUUCCUUCACAAAUCAAACCCCAAAAACCAUAUAUUUGGAAUCCUUGAGACCUAACGAACUCAAUGGUACCUUUGCAUGCGCCAUCUGAGCACCGUGGGUUUUUCUGUCAUUGAAGCCGAGAGCUUCAAAGCUCUAAAACUCCAACCCAGGUAAAGAUUGUGUUCCUUUUUCAAAUUUCUGGGGUUAAUCAUGUUAUUUGUGUUGGUUUUAAGGUCAAAAUCGAGGGUUUUGACCUUACCUUUUCUCUAUGCCAAAAACCCGGUUCCGACGACGAACUCCGACGAGUUCGUAGGUGUGUGUGUGUACAAGUGUGUGUGUGUGUCCGUGUGUGUGUAUGCCAACUGUGAGUGUGUGUGAGCAGUGCAUGCUUUGCAUGUGUGUGUGUGUUGAUAAGUAUGGGUUGGGCUCAAGCCCAAACCACCUCUUGAUCCUAACCUAUCCAAAUCCAAGGCCCAUUUCCAUUUCCUAGAAUUAUAUUGUUGGGUAGUUUGAUUAACUGUACGUUCUUGUACUUAGGGGCAAUCAUCGCAACGUUUCUGUCUUCGCUAGUGGCGCAGCUUUUGACGGAGUAUUUGUGAGUGGACCACCUUCGAAAAUUGCAUGUUUUAUUGAUAGAAAAUUUGUGUUGGUUUUAAGGUCAAAAUCGAGGGUUUUGACCUUACCUUUUCUCUAUGCCAAAAACCCGGUUCCGACGACGAACUCCGACGAGUUCGUAGGUGUGUGUGUGUACAAGUGUGUGUGUGUGUGUCCGUGUGUGUGUAUGCCAACUGUGAGUGUGUGUGAGCAGUGCAUGCUUUGCAUGUGUGUGUGUGUUGAUAAGUAUGGGUUGGGCUCAAGCCCAAACCACCUCUUGAUCCUAACCUAUCCAAAUCCAAGGCCCAUUUCCAUUUCCUAGAAUUAUAUUGUUGGGUAGUUUGAUUAACUGUACGUUCUUGUACUUAGGGGCAAUCAUCGCAACGUUUCUGUCUUCGCUAGUGGCGCAACUUUUGACGGAGUAUUUGUGAGUGGACCACCUUCGAAAAUUGCAUGUUUUAUUGAUAGAAUUGCAUAAUUUAAUAGCAUGCCUUCCAGAAUUAUUUGAUUUGAGGAUCGAUGAAAUUAUGCUACGAAGUUGUAUUUUAGAGAUGAAUUAUGUUUUGUGCGUACCUAGUGAACACUAUGCCGCCUGGGGCGAGGAUCUGGUGUUGGCAUUGAGGCCGGGAGAAAUAAUCCCUAGCGAAAGGCUGAGGGACACGGAGACAGGCAUUGGGCCGGGAGGGAGAUAUCUCUGGCUACGGGCACAGAGACUGAGGUGCAGGCAUUGGGCCGGGAGUAUUGUUAUUCAGUGCACUCACUAGCAGCACAACUUGUGUUAUGCUUCCUGACAUGAUUGCUGAGAUAAUUUCUGAUAUGAUUUUCUGAGAUUGAUUUGCAGAUGGAUAUAUGAAUUGUUUUAUGGCAUGCUAAAGUUUUCUGAAAAGCUUAUCACUUAUUAUUCUAGUAGUUUUCAUUAUUAAACUGUGGGGGUUAGUAUGUUCGUAACUGUUUUCGUACUAUGUAUGUAUAUAAACUUGGUCCACUCACCCUUGUUUUGCGCCCCCAUUCAGGACUUAGGAUGAAGGCACAUAACC